UAAUUUGGCGCAUUUAAGUUCCUAAAAUUUGCGAUACAGAGAAGAUUAGCAGGGCCUCUGCGCAAAGAUGGCAUCCUCAGAUUAUUACGCUCAACGCAUUUUA
This is a small nuclear RNA of Stegodyphus dumicola, 103 nucleotides long. The record is from RefSeq and is a predicted model, not a curated record. NCBI's taxonomy places the organism in Eukaryota, Metazoa, Arthropoda, Arachnida, Araneae, Eresidae.